This 554-nucleotide ribosomal RNA is filed under the name uncultured bacterium. Its description in RNAcentral is "partial 16S ribosomal RNA". It matches the Rfam family "Bacterial small subunit ribosomal RNA", at positions 355 to 900 of the family's 1533-position model. The record is from RNAcentral.
UAGGGAAUCUUCCACAAUGGACGCAAGUCUGAUGGAGCAACGCCGCGUGAGUGAAGAAGGUCUUCGGAUCGUAAAGCUCUGUUGUUGGUGAAGAAGGAUAGAGGCAGUAACUGGUCUUUAUUUGACGGUAAUCAACCAGAAAGUCACGGCUAACUACGUGCCAGCAGCCGCGGUAAUACGUAGGUGGCAAGCGUUGUCCGGAUUUAUUGGGCGUAAAGCGAGCGCAGGCGGAAUGAUAAGUCUGAUGUGAAAGCCCACGGCUCAACCGUGGAACUGCAUCGGAAACUGUCAUUCUUGAGUGCAGAAGAGGAGAGUGGAACUCCAUGUGUAGCGGUGGAAUGCGUAGAUAUAUGGAAGAACACCAGUGGCGAAGGCGGCUCUCUGGUCUGCAACUGACGCUGAGGCUCGAAAGCAUGGGUAGCGAACAGGAUUAGAUACCCUGGUAGUCCAUGCCGUAAACGAUGAGCGCUAGGUGUUGGGGACUUUCCGGUUCUCAGUGCCGCAGCAAACGCAUUAAGCGCUCCGCCUGGGGAGUACGACCGCAAGGUUGAAGC